RNAcentral lists this ribosomal RNA (99 nucleotides) under uncultured bacterium. RNAcentral describes it as "partial 16S ribosomal RNA". It matches the Rfam family "Bacterial small subunit ribosomal RNA", at positions 392 to 508 of the family's 1533-position model. The record is from RNAcentral.
CCAUGCCGCGUGGAUGAUGAAGGUCUUAGGAUUGUAAAAUCCUUUCACCGGGGACGAUAAUGACGGUACCCGGAGAAGAAGCCCCGGCUAACUUCGUGC